This 1195-nucleotide long non-coding RNA is filed under the name Marmota monax (woodchuck). Lineage: Eukaryota; Metazoa; Chordata; Mammalia; Rodentia; Sciuridae. The record is from RNAcentral.
CCCCACUGGAGUGGAGUGCCCCAAGCCAUGGUGCUGAGUGUGCAUCACUUGGGUUCUCUUCAAAACUUUUCCAUAGGGAUUAGAAACCUUUGGGGCUAAGAAUUGGUUCCAGUGUAUUCAUCUAACAGGUUAUUUGUCUUUUCACUACCCCAAGUCUAAAUUGUGUUCAGCUUGUGGGGAAUCAAAGAACCUCUCCUUUUUGUGGUUACGAGCCAACACUCCAUUAAAAAGAGCAGUUCUGGGCUGGGGUUGUGGCUCAGUGGUAAAGGGUGCGCCUUGCGUGUGAGGCACUGGGUUCGAUCCUCAGCACCACAUUAAAAAUAAAUAAAUAAAUAAAGGUAUUGUGUCCAUCUACAACUAAAAAAAAUAUUUCUUAAAAAAGGGCAGUUCUGAAUUUUUUUAAUUGCUGAAUGGAAAAGCUCAGGUGGUUACUGAAGUUAGUCCUCCAGAGUGUGAGGGAUAAGUUUUGUUAAUUGGUGUAAAUUUACAAAAUAUUUGCCAGCUUAGCAUUAUGUGUCAGACGUGGCCAGCAGGCCCUGGACUACUACAUACUGGGCACUGGUCUUGUCAACAGGCCUAGGGAGGUGUAGCUGUUAACUACAGCUACAUUAACCCAACAGGACUAGUGGCUGCAACUUCUGGAGAGUUGUUAGCCCACAUGAAAUCAGUUCUUUUGCCUAAGGGACUCCCUCCCUCUUACAUUGGGAAAGCAGUUUCCCACCCAGGUGCCACAGGGGAGAUCGCUGUGUUGAGCAAUUUUCCAUGGCAUUUCUGCCUAUCUUGUGGCAGCUUUUAUCCCAGACUAUCUUUUCAAGGUGUUUGUCUAGGCAGAGAACAGAUUGGUUUUCUUACUAGAAUAAUUAAGACUAUUGUCUUCCUGCAGGGAAUAGGUGGGACAGGCUGGCUAGUAGAGCAGCUCCUCUUAUAUUUCUGGAGUUUUCUUAGCUAUGGCAUAGAUCAUCCAGUGUGCAACAUCCACUUGGCCUGUUCUUCCAUGUUACCUCCUUGGGGGACUUGCAGGGCGAGUGGAGCUGAUAUGAUCUCAAGCCCAUGCUGCCUGGUGUUCCCAUAGUAGUAAAGUCCCAGGAGCCUGCCAGCAUCCAUGAAGCUGUGGCAGGCCAGCUGGUUAGUUUACAAGCAGGGUAAGAUCUCAGAUCCUCCAUUCUUGGUAGCGCUGCCCUAUUGGGCUACCAAU